UCGAGGUUGAGAUACGCGUGCGCGACCCGGAAACCCGGAAAGAGGAUCCAACCGGCGCCCCACCUUCCGGCCAUCUCCCGGUGGCAGACCACCUGCAUUCAAACCCUCUCCUCAGCGCCGAUGUUCUCUUGUGCGGUGGAUUACCCAAUCGGCGACGAACGGCAAUGGUACGACGUCUAGAAGCCGCUGAAAUUUCCGGCGAUUGUCCUGCAAUUUCCGGCAACGAUACAGCAGUGCACUGGUAUCAUUUGAAUCCUCUCGUCAUCACCGACCUUUCUGUGCUCUUGGUGAAGUGUUGAGAAAGUGAAGGAAAAGGGGAGAAGUUCUUCUGCUGUCAUGUUCUUCGUCAAGAACAUUGGACUGCCAAUUCGGACUCUGCUUUUGAUUUAAUCUGAUAUCAAGGAUUCAGUUACUCAAGGAGCGGAAGGUUCAUGAUUCUCGGACAACAUUAAAGGUUAGAGCAUCGGAAUCCAGAUAGGGGACUCGGACUCACUUGAUUAUUGAUGGCCUGAGAGUGAAAGGAACAUAGCGAUUCCUUGGGAUUCGAUCCCCUAAACCUUCGGAGGGGCCGUAUGGACGGAAUCGUAUCCGACAUCCCCUGAGGUGUGGCACUAUUUCUAGGUGAUAUGGCGUAAGUGGACACUCUCACUACACUUACCUGAUGACUUUAUUUGAGGUAAGGCCAUGUAGUUGGUCCAUGGGACCAGCGAUCAGGUACUAUAUAUUCAUUUGAGUUUCGUGGAUUGGAUUUUGAGUCCGAAAAAUAUUUGAAGUUUGUCGUUCUCUAAAUGAAAUGAUUUGAGUACGUUUUCAUACUGGGUACCCAAAAAUUAUAUUUUAUGUGUCGGUUUUCAAACCUAGUCGGGUGAAGCCCUUAUUGAGCACUGAGGACGAAAGCUUACCCCUACAACAGUGUGGAUGCAGGUACUGUGCACUGGUAACGGGACUAGAGCAGAUGGAGCUGGGUGUGCAGAUUUCAAUAGUAUAUCUUAAUGGAAAUCAGGUUCCGAGUUCCAAUCUUAUUUUUGUUCCUUAAAGUUGUAUUUCUGGAACUUGUCAAAAUUUGUUUGUUGUAAGCUAAGUCCAUUAUUUCUCGAUUGAUUGCAACGUCAAGUCCUAGAUGAACAUUUGAAUUUGAAGUCUUAGAAAGGUUUUCACCUUAAAAAUAUUUAAAAGCUUCCGUUGUGUAUUUUGUGAAAAGUUUAUUUUAAACAAAUUUGCCUAGCGAAUUUCUAAAAUGUAAAUAGUAUUUUUGGUUUAUGUUUUGGAGCUAGACUCGCGGCACUGUAACAUACUCAAGUUGGUGAGGUACAAUUUGGGGCAUUAUAGGAUAAUAGAAUGCGAUACACAAAGUAGGUUAGCAAGUAUCCUAUUGAUGAUAGAUGGCAGCGGUGGUGCUAAACCUCAACUCCUAAAGCCAAACAGCUACACUGCGAACUUGGCAUUUGAAAACAAAGGGCCCAGGGGAAAAGGAUAUAAAAACGUUAGCGUGAGUGGGCAAGAUAAACACUGUCGCAUAAGAAAUUAAAGAGUGAUUUAUGCUCUCCCACAAUUUGAUUUAAUAUAAAUCUCGAUGCAUGCCAGUGGUUAGGAAUGAAAUUUAAAGAAUAAAAUUGACUAGCCUCGCUAGUCCAAAAUAACAAAGUAUAAGCAGGGGAAGAUGAUGGCUAUAAAAGUGAGCCUCCCAGGCUCGGGUGAUAGCCUCCCAGGCUAAAGUACUCCCAUACUCCCGUAUAUACCCUUACGUGACUAAGUGCGGCGAAUAGGAUACUGAGCUUUAGUGUUACCACCACAAAGGCAGCAACCAGCGCCACAAAGGCGAACAUGCUUCCGUGAUCCCAUCGCGUCACUACAAAAAUGGACUACAUGCUAGCGUGAUAAAUAAUCACCCAAAGGGAGCUCCUCUCAUCUUGUACAAAAUAACAUUCAUAAACAACUAAACUAUUUUCGGAAAUUAAGUUUACUUUAAAUUUAAAAUGGUUUCUAAACAUUACUUCAACGAAUUAACCCCCUCCUCGGAUUUAAUCCAAGCGUCACCACUAACAUCAUUUCAUUAAUUUACAGAUUUUAGGACAGAUUCGAGAGAAAUUUGACGGUUGGAUUCUUGUAAAUCGCUAACUGAAAUUUCAAACAUCGAAAGUUCACAAUUGAUACCAAACUUCUACGAUUUCCACCAAAACCACAUUUACAAGUUCUAUGUUACGCUAAAAUCAAGCGUUCAACUUAACCCUGCAAAUUGUAGUCAUUAGCAAUAUAGAGUAAGCAAGGAUCGUUCGAUGCCAGAGAUUGAGGGUAACAAAUUAAUCACACAAAAUAAAACAAAUAACAAAACUAAACUAACUAGCACACAAAACAAUUGACAAUACUAAGAAAAAGAAAAACAUCAAAGAGAGAAAAAGAUAGCAGGAAAAGAAGGGGAUAGAAGGGUGCGCCACAAUCCUAAGUUGAAACAAAUUUGGGGUUUUGAAGUCUAUGAAAAUAAAAGAAAAAUAAGAAAGCGAAAUCAAUUUUAGAGUUUGAAAAACAAUAUGGAGAAGACGUUAGAGACUCGGAAAUCCACCACCAAUUACUUUCGAACAAUGUUAAAUUAACCUAGUCUCAGUUACUAAGGUGUGAACAGAAACCAACCAAAAAACAGAUCGAAGCAGAUCAUGUCCCUUAUUAUUGUUUCCCUAAGUACUUAGUUUAUGUGAACACAGAAUAGCCAAGCCUAUCAAACAUGCAAUCAAGGUAUAGAACGCUAUCCUAUCAACAACACAUAUAGUGUCAACAUAUUUGAAGCAUUAAGAUAUCAUGGAAACGAUUGGUUAUAGAGUUGCAGUCUAGUGUGGAACGCCUACCUAGCAUGCUCUUCUAGUUGUUUAAAACAUCAGCUUUUGUCCAAAGUCUUGCAUACUUGUGGAUUAGAAAACAAUACAAUUUGGUGAAUUAUUUUCUAAACCUAGCUCCAAUUACAUGCAUAAAUCCUAUGUUGGCCACCAUAAAACAAACACAUGCAAAGUUUUCAAUCAAUCAGAGAUAAACAACCAAUUCACACAAAAGAUCAAGAAACUAGAUUAAAACAAACAUAUGUUCUACAUAAUCGGGGCUUCAAACCUCGCCCCUAACAAGAAGUAACUAGCCACACAUUGUCUUUAAUUCAACAGAUAAAAACAUAAGUAUUUGAUUACAAGAGAAUAAAAGGGAGAACAUGAGAGCCACAAAUUCACUUUUAGGCAGCCUUGUACGCAAGCACUCCUUCAAGAUGGGUCACGGUCAAGCUUGAUGGAGGGUGGAAGAUGGAUUGCACGGUUUUUGCUCUUGGAGGACUUGGGAAUUUCAAGACUUUGUGUACUAGGGUUUGGGGCAGAAGAUGACGCUGUAGGGUGGUGAUUUUUUCAUGUGUUUAGAUGCUCUAUAUGUAUGAGGAGCACAACCCAAGUUUCCUUCUCCAAUUCUGAUUUAAAGACCUUCCCUUGUUGCUUGAGGAUUCCUUUGAUUGGUGUACAAUUUAAUUGCCAUAAAGCCUUAGUAAUCUUCCCAAGAUCUUGAGGAAUCAUUUUAGGACUCUCCUUGACAUUUGCAGCAUCAAUAACCUUCCAAAAAUGCACCCAAAAUCAGCCCAUAGAAUAUUUCCGCCAAAUUGUCAUGUUUUGACUGGGACUCAAUUUCUCUCUCUGAAGCUUAAUUCACUACUACAGAAAUGGGCUUUGUAGACACCCAGCUAAAAGAUACAAAGACAGUUUUUUAUUUAGAUGUCCUUACAACUUAAUAAGGACGUCAACUUUUAAAAUCUUCCGUGUUUUUCCCUUAAGCGCACUGUAGUAGGAAGUCUAGGUCAUCAUUUCUGUCUAACCAACAAAAAAGAUAAAACACUAUUCACUCCAUAGAAAAUCGCUCUUGCUCUCUCUCUCUUCCCCCUCAAAUCUCUUCUGUCUCUCCUCCCAAAUCUAUCCUUUGCCUGGCCUCCUCCAUCAUCGAUAUCGCCAUGACCUUGGACUCCACCAUCGGCCUAUUCGAUGUCCGCCAAAUAUCCCGAUAACACUGUGUUCAACCUCAUUGCUACGCACUAUCGUCGGGACGACCUCCACCACUUCGAUUGUAACCUCGCGAAGGGCAAGAUCUCAUACUCGAUUCAGCAGGCGUUGACUGGCCUCUCAGCUAUGCACGAAUCCAGCUGCCUAAUCUAUGGUAUCCAUCUGAUUUAGGGUUUCUAAUCCAUGUUAUAGAAUUUAUUUUUUAAUUCACGAUUGUAUGAUAAUUUCAGGUGUUUGGAUUGCAAAUUUGAGAUAUGGGUUUCGUCAUUCUUGUCUCUUGCUCAAUUAUACUAUAUGGGUUUUUAUUUCUAGGCUUGGUUUUGGCUGAUUCUUCUCAGUCUGGAACUGGGUUUCUUUUAUUCAAAUUGCAAGUGUAUGAUAUGGUUGCAUAGCUCUGUAGAUUUGAUGAAUGGGGUCCUGGGUUUUGUGGGGUUUACAUGGAGACUGGCUUUUGGGUUAUCUCUCCAUUAAUCUCUGAGCAAAAAAUUAUGAUAUUUUCUUCUUUUCUAUUCUUCUUCUUUUCUUUUGGGUAGCAGAUUGGGAAGUGAAAAGUGAAAUCAGAAAGAAUGAGAGUAAGAACAUAGGGAAGCUUGUUAUCAUGUCGAUCUAUGUUGGGCCACUUUCAUCCACUUCCACCUAUGGUCUCCAUGGAACUGGUAAUCCUUCUUUUCAAUUUGUUCUGUUAUCAUGGUGAUACUUUUGUAAUUUGUACACUUAUACAUUAGUCAUGAAAUUCUUGUACCAUUUUAUUAGAGUGAGCAUCUGAAAAGGAGUGAAGCAUUGGAGAAGAUUAUGGUAACCUAGUUGAUCAAGUAUUUCUUGUUCCAUUCACUUGGUUAUCGUCCUAAGCUGAUAUUUAUAUACUUCUUUUCAAUCUAUCCCAACUCCCCAUCUACAAAGGGCGCUGAAAUUUGUUCUGUUUCUACCUGUUUAGAUAAAAAGUCUGAUGCAAAAUCUGUAAAAAGUUAUUGUUACGAAAAAUGCUUUGGUACUUAGCUAUAUUGUGAAAUGCUUGUUAAAUUAACUGUGAUGUUGUAGUCUUAGCUGGUUGGAGUGAUAUUUCUUCUUUUUUCCUCCUCCUAUGUUUCUUUAAAUGGUUCUGUUCAUUUAGAAGGUCCCGAAGUUUGACAACAUUUGUUAUAUAGGAAAAAAAAAAAAACUCCUUUUAACUAUUUAAUCAAAAUGCUUUUCUUAUUAUUACUAUUAUUAUUAUUUUUUUGUUGACAGGAAGUUGCUUACCUGGGUCAGAUGGAUCUUGAGACAGAGAAAAGAAUAGCUGUGAUUUUUAUGAGAUAAGAUAAGACUUGCUGCGCCAAGUUGAGAAGGAAGGUGUGCAUGCUUAUCGUCAACAACCUAAAACAGGAUUUAGGCUAAAUUCGUCGUUGCUUAGUGCUAACGUCCGUGGUGUUGAACAACAAAUAAAGCUGUGGAGGUGAAUGAAAUGUGGUGAAUCCGGCGGAAAGAGCUCGAAUCAGAUGAAAGACUUAAAGGCAAGAUGAAGGAUGAGAUGAGAGCAUAAAUGACAGGAAUCCUGGAAAUGGUAACACUCUUCUAGUGCAGGUAAUUGUUCCCUGUCAUGUUUCUUGAAACUGUCUCAGAGGUAGUGGAUGAAGAUAUUGGAGAUGAUGAAACAAAGUUUAUGUGCCUCUACUGCCAUCUAAGAUCACAUAGGAUAUCAACCUGUAAUUAGGAUUUAUUUAGUUUGUUUUAAUUGUAGUUUAGUUUAACUGUUAUGAGUAACAGAUCAGUAAAUGUCCUCUUUUCUUUUCAAGGACACUUUUUGUUCAUACCGGGACAUUUUUUUUUGUGUUCUGUAAUAGUUACAAUGACGUUUUUUUUAGAUUUCAGGACCUUUUUUCAGCGUCCUCGUAUAUAUAAGAUGACACUUUUUUAGAUUUAAGGACACUUUUUCAAUGUCCUAUAAAACAUUAGAGGACGUUUUUUUUUUAGAUUAGAGGACACUUUUCCAACGUCCUUAUAGGUAUUUAAGGACGUUUUUUGAACGUCCUUAUAAGUGACUUACAAUGACUCCUUGAUAGAUGACGCUUUUUUUGCGUGUCAUCUAAAGUUUUUAAAGACGUUUUCUGAACGUCCUUAAAUGUUUUUUUUGUA
This is a long non-coding RNA of Rosa rugosa (rugosa rose), 6128 nucleotides long. RefSeq lists it as uncharacterized. The record is from RefSeq and is a predicted model, not a curated record. NCBI's taxonomy places the organism in Eukaryota, Viridiplantae, Streptophyta, Magnoliopsida, Rosales, Rosaceae. The transcript is spliced from 6 exons.